CCACAAACUUAAUUAUCAAUUGAGUCUUAGUAUGAAAAUCUACUAUGUGGUAACUUUCAAAUUUAGAGAAAUCCCAAAAUUAAUAAAAAUGGACAAUUUUGAGCCAAAUCCUAUUUUCCCCAAAACAAAGCUUACGAAAGAAAAAUGUUAGGUGGAGACUUAAUGGAAGAUAUUCUAUCAAAUAGAGUGGUUGGUAUAAGAAUAUUUUCAUCGAAACUUCAGAAAGGAUGAAGG
Molecule: non-coding RNA, 234 nt
Filed under: Olea europaea subsp. europaea
Lineage: Eukaryota; Viridiplantae; Streptophyta; Magnoliopsida; Lamiales; Oleaceae
Rfam family: Group I catalytic intron
About the family: Group I catalytic introns are large self-splicing ribozymes. They catalyse their own excision from mRNA, tRNA and rRNA precursors in a wide range of organisms.
Source: RNAcentral